GUUCGCUUUCUGGCAUCUCCAGUAACGAAAGGAUUGGAUGCAUCUGAAGCCUUCCAAGUCACCGUGUUUCACUGCAGGCACAUGUUCCACAAAGAGUGCAUUCCUGAACCUAACACAAUCUCUUCAGUGAAGUUCUGUAACAUCUGCAGCGCUAAGCACCGAGGUCCGGGCAGCGCCAUCCAGGAGAUGAAGAAAUGAGAGCCCCUGGCAUACCAUCAAUCUCUCUUCCUCUGUGUGUGUGUGUUUGUCUGUCUGUCUUAACUUGGCAUAGAGGAGUAAUGCUUCAUUGUUAAUGCCUGUAUCCGUUUAAUUCUGGCUGGGGACAUGGAGAAUCUUUAAAUCAUCCAGAACAUCGAUAUUUCUUCUAUGGAUCCCUAGCAAUAAAAAGGCAGAAGAGAAAUCAAUGUAUCAUCAGAUGAUGUAUCACUGCUGCAUAGUUCAGAAUUGCUCGCCUGUAUGUUUGUCUUAAUAAUGAAAACAAUUAAACCUAAUGGUAUAA
Long non-coding RNA from Heteronotia binoei (common prickly gecko), 499 nucleotides. RefSeq lists it as uncharacterized. NCBI's taxonomy places the organism in Eukaryota, Metazoa, Chordata, Lepidosauria, Squamata, Gekkonidae. The record is from RefSeq and is a predicted model, not a curated record. The transcript has 3 exons.